Molecule: ribosomal RNA, 200 nt
Filed under: uncultured organism
Description: partial small subunit ribosomal RNA
Rfam family: Bacterial small subunit ribosomal RNA
Source: RNAcentral
GUCAAAUCAUCAUGCCCCUUAUGACCUGGGCUACACACGUGCUACAAUGGAUGGUACAAAGGGCUGCGAGACCGCGAGGUUAAGCCAAUCCCAGAAAACCAUUCCCAGUUCGGAUUGCAGGCUGCAACCCGCCUGCAUGAAGUUGGAAUCGCUAGUAAUCGCGCAUCAGCAAUGGCGCGGUGAAUACGUUCCCGGACCUU